UACGUAGGGGGCAAGCGUUGUCCGGAUUUAUUGGGCGUAAAGAGCAGUGUAGGCGGUUUGGUAGGUCCGCUGUGAAAACUCGAGGCUCAACCUCGAGACGCCGGUGGAAACCAUCAGACUAGAGUCCGGAAGAGGAGAGUGGAAUUCCUGGUGUAGCGGUGAAAUGCGCAGAUAUCAGGAAGAACACCCGUGGCUAAGGCGGCUCUCUAGUACGGUACUGGACGCUGAGACGCGAAAGCGUGGGGAGCGAACAGG
RNAcentral lists this ribosomal RNA (255 nucleotides) under uncultured bacterium. RNAcentral describes it as "partial 16S ribosomal RNA". It matches the Rfam family "Bacterial small subunit ribosomal RNA", at positions 524 to 776 of the family's 1533-position model. The record is from RNAcentral.